AAGCUUUAACAAGAACGAGAAAGAACUUCGAAGCUAAAACCUCUAAACCAACUUCUUUUAAAGCUUUAUGUAUAGUUAUGGAGUGCUUUGUUGGUGGUGGUUGUUGGUUCAUGUGAAUCAUGAAAAUUCCAGAGAAAUAAGGAUGAAAUUAGUAGACUUAAAUCACGGUAAUAUGUAUGAUAAGUGAAACUGUAAUCAAA
RNAcentral lists this long non-coding RNA (200 nucleotides) under Panax ginseng (ginseng). RNAcentral's name for it is "long non-coding RNA (PGIN_LNC013581)". The record is from RNAcentral. Lineage: Eukaryota; Viridiplantae; Streptophyta; Magnoliopsida; Apiales; Araliaceae.